This 1064-nucleotide ribosomal RNA is filed under the name Nocardia sp. S07-31. Its description in RNAcentral is "bacterial SSU rRNA". It matches the Rfam family "Bacterial small subunit ribosomal RNA", at positions 51 to 1132 of the family's 1533-position model. The record is from RNAcentral. Lineage: Bacteria; Bacillati; Actinomycetota; Actinomycetes; Mycobacteriales; Nocardiaceae.
ACACAUGCAAGUCGAGCGGUAAGGCCCUUCGGGGUACACGAGCGGCGAACGGGUGAGUAACACGUGGGUGAUCUGCCUUGCACUCUGGGAUAAGCCUGGGAAACUGGGUCUAAUACCGGAUAUGAGCCUGGACUGCAUGGUCUGGGUUGGAAAGGUUUACUGGUGCGAGAUGGGCCCGCGGCCUAUCAGCUUGUUGGUGGGGUAACGGCCUACCAAGGCGACGACGGGUAGCCGACCUGAGAGGGUGACCGGCCACACUGGGACUGAGACACGGCCCAGACUCCUACGGGAGGCAGCAGUGGGGAAUAUUGCACAAUGGGCGAAAGCCUGAUGCAGCGACGCCGCGUGAGGGAUGACGGCCUUCGGGUUGUAAACCUCUUUUGACAGGGACGAAGCGCAAGUGACGGUACCUGUAGAAGAAGCACCGGCCAACUACGUGCCAGCAGCCGCGGUAAUACGUAGGGUGCGAGCGUUGUCCGGAAUUACUGGGCGUAAAGAGCUUGUAGGCGGUUUGUCGCGUCGAUUGUGAAAACUUGCAGCUCAACUGCAAGCUUGCAGUCGAUACGGGCAGACUAGAGUACUUCAGGGGAGACUGGAAUUCCUGGUGUAGCGGUGAAAUGCGCAGAUAUCAGGAGGAACACCGGUGGCGAAGGCGGGUCUCUGGGAAGUAACUGACGCUGAGAAGCGAAAGCGUGGGUAGCGAACAGGAUUAGAUACCCUGGUAGUCCACGCCGUAAACGGUGGGUACUAGGUGUGGGUUUCCUUCCACGGGAUCCGUGCCGUAGCUAACGCAUUAAGUACCCCGCCUGGGGAGUACGGCCGCAAGGCUAAAACUCAAAGGAAUUGACGGGGGCCCGCACAAGCGGCGGAGCAUGUGGAUUAAUUCGAUGCAACGCGAAGAACCUUACCUGGGUUUGACAUACACCGGAAAGCUGUAGAGAUAUGGCCCCCCUUGUGGUCGGUGUACAGGUGGUGCAUGGCUGUCGUCAGCUCGUGUCGUGAGAUGUUGGGUUAAGUCCCGCAACGAGCGCAACCCUUAUCUUAUGUUGCCAGCGCGUAAUGGC